Long non-coding RNA from Acipenser ruthenus (sterlet), 230 nucleotides. RefSeq lists it as uncharacterized. Lineage: Eukaryota; Metazoa; Chordata; Actinopteri; Acipenseriformes; Acipenseridae. The record is from RefSeq and is a predicted model, not a curated record. The transcript has 3 exons.
CAGGUCACCACGUUGCAGCAGCAGAUACAGGACUGGGAGAAGAAGCACUUGUCAGUGGUGUCUGUCUAUCGCUCUCACCUGCUCUGCGCUGUCCAGGGGCGCAUGGAUGAGGAGGUGCAGGGGCUCCUGCUGCAAAUACUGAGGAUGCACCAGCAGAGCAGCACCUGAGAAAGAGAGGGCUCCCCGACACUGCACGCGAAGCCAGGGCGCCCCGACACUGCACACCGGAC